Molecule: ribosomal RNA, 433 nt
Filed under: uncultured bacterium
Lineage: Bacteria
Description: partial 16S ribosomal RNA
Rfam family: Bacterial small subunit ribosomal RNA
Source: RNAcentral
AACGAACGCUGGCGGCAUGCCUAACACAUGCAAGUCGAACGAGACCUUCGGGUCUAGUGGCGCACGGGUGCGUAACGCGUGGGAAUCUGCCCUUAGGUUCGGAAUAACUCCCCGAAAGGGGUGCUAAUACCGGAUAAUGUCUUCGGACCAAAGAUUUAUCGCCUUUGGAUGGGCCCGCGUUGGAUUAGCUAGUUGGUAGGGUAAAAGCCUACCAAGGCGACGAUCCAUAGCUGGUCUGAGAGGAUGAUCAGCCACACUGGGACUGAGACACGGCCCAGACUCCUACGGGAGGCAGCAGUAGGGAAUAUUGGACAAUGGGCGAAAGCCUGAUCCAGCAAUGCCGCGUGAGUGAUGAAGGCCUUAGGGUUGUAAAGCUCUUUUACCCGGGAUGAUAAUGACAGUACCGGGAGAAUAAGCUCCGGCUAACUCCGUG